GUUCCCUGAAGGGCCGUCGAAGACUACGACGUUGAUAGGUUGGGUGUGUAAGCGCUGUGAGGCGUUGAGCUAACCAAUACUAAUUGCCCGUGAGGCUUGACCAUAUAACACCCAAGCAAUU
This 121-nucleotide ribosomal RNA is filed under the name Pseudomonas vancouverensis. RNAcentral describes it as "partial 23S ribosomal RNA". The stretch from base 1 to 104 matches the Rfam family "Bacterial large subunit ribosomal RNA", at positions 2822 to 2925 of the family's 2925-position model. The record is from RNAcentral. RNAcentral also lists the same sequence under 2 other names. Lineage: Bacteria; Pseudomonadati; Pseudomonadota; Gammaproteobacteria; Pseudomonadales; Pseudomonadaceae.